CGGGGAAGCAGGCUCCCCGCAUAUUAAAGACCGCGUUUCACGACGACAGCGUCCAAGCCCUGC
Molecule: non-coding RNA, 63 nt
Filed under: unclassified sequences
Description: chromate-resist RNA
Rfam family: chrB-b RNA
Source: RNAcentral